CAGCCGCCGCGGUAAUACCGGCGGCCCGAGUGGCGGCCACUAUUAUUGGGCUUAAAGCGUCCGUAGCCGGGUUGGUUAGUCUCCCGGGAAAUCUGGCCGCUUAACGGUCAGAAUUCCGGGAGAUACUGCCAGCCUAGGGACCGGGAGAGGCCGAGGGUAUUCCCGGAGUAGGGGUGAAAUCCUAUAAUCCCGGGAGGACCACCUGUGGCGGAGGCGCUCGGCUGGAACGGGUCCGACGGUGAGGGACGAAGGCCAGGGGAGCAAACCGGAUUAGAUGCCCGGGUAGUCCUGGCUGUAAACGAUGCGGACUUUGUGUCGGACAAGCUAUGAGCUUGUCCGGUGCCGGAGGGAAACCGUUAAGUCCGCCGCCUGGGGAGUACGGCCGCAAGGCUGAAACUUAAAGGAAUUGGCGGG
Molecule: ribosomal RNA, 414 nt
Filed under: uncultured microorganism
Description: bacterial SSU rRNA
Rfam family: Archaeal small subunit ribosomal RNA
Source: RNAcentral